UGGGGAAUUUUGCGCAAUGGGGGAAAGCCUGACGCAGCGACGCCGCGUGGGGGAUGAAGGCCUUCGGGUUGUAAACCCCUUUCAGCAGGGACGAAGCAAAGUGACGGUACCUGCAGAAGAAGCGCCGGCUAACUACGUGCCAGCAGCCGCGGUAACACGUAGGGCGCAAGCGUUGUCCGGAAUUAUUGGGCGUAAAGAGCUCGUAGGCGGUCUGUUGCGUCCGCUGUGAAAUCUCGGGGCUUAACCCCGAGCCUGCAGUGGAUACGGGCAGACUAGAGGUAGGUAGGGGAGAAUGGAAUUCCCGGUGUAGCGGUGAAAUGCGCAGAUAUCGGGAGGAACACCGGUGGCGAAGGCGGUUCUCUGGGCCUUACCUGACGCUGAGGAGCGAAAGCGUGGGGAGCGAACAGGAUUAGAUACCCUGGUAGUCCACGCUGUAAACGUUGGGCGCUAGGUGUGGGAUCCUUCCACGGAUUCCGUGCCGCAGCUAACGCAUUAAGCGCCCCGCCUGGGGAGUACGGCCGCAAGGC
Molecule: ribosomal RNA, 527 nt
Filed under: uncultured bacterium
Lineage: Bacteria
Description: bacterial SSU rRNA
Rfam family: Bacterial small subunit ribosomal RNA
Source: RNAcentral